Columba livia (rock pigeon) is the source of this 566-nucleotide long non-coding RNA. RefSeq lists it as uncharacterized. NCBI's taxonomy places the organism in Eukaryota, Metazoa, Chordata, Aves, Columbiformes, Columbidae. The record is from RefSeq and is a predicted model, not a curated record. The transcript has 5 exons.
UAGCAGGUGUUGGCUUUUCCCUCUUCAGUGCAUCUGGCCUGUGAUAAAGCUGCUGCCUCUCAAAGCAGGAGGGAAGGUGAAUGUUCAUGGCUUCCCAUGGCCUCUGAGAGUGAGAGGCUGAGUAUUAGCAACAGCUUUUGCAGUGAAGAAGCCUCUUUGAUAGUAGCUGGACUGAGCCCACCAAGUUACUCUUACAGUGUCCACUGCACGAGCUGCUGACAGCACCUGGUUACUGCUAACCUGUAGGAUUAGCAGGGACAAGAUCAUGCACACUCAAGGUUGGGGAAAUUUCUCUGUCAGCCUGGUAAGGGACAACCCUGCAGCCUGAAGGAAUCAGCUUCCAGGAGGAAAAAUGUCUGUUGUAUUCCUUACUGAAGGUAGCAGUGGGGAGCUACACAAGAAACGAGUUACUUCCCAUAUACUUUGGACUCUUCUGCUAGGACCAUGAUUCAACCUACUUCAACUUUCCUGAAAUGGAUAGAAGGCAAUGCAAAAGACUCCUUGGAUUUACUUGUUAUUACUUCACAGCAGCAGGCAUCGUUUGUGAGAUGCUUCCCAAUUAGAAG